This 71-nucleotide transfer RNA is filed under the name Camelus bactrianus (Bactrian camel). It matches the Rfam family "tRNA". Rfam says of the family: Transfer RNA (tRNA) molecules are approximately 80 nucleotides in length. Their secondary structure includes four short double-helical elements and three loops (D, anti-codon, and T loops). RNAcentral also lists the same sequence under 2 other names. The record is from Rfam by way of RNAcentral. Lineage: Eukaryota; Metazoa; Chordata; Mammalia; Artiodactyla; Camelidae.
GAAGGUAUAGCUCAUUGGUACAGUAAUGCUUAGCACGCACAAGGUCCUGGGUUCAAUCCCCAGUACUUCCA